This 593-nucleotide ribosomal RNA is filed under the name uncultured bacterium. RNAcentral describes it as "bacterial SSU rRNA". It matches the Rfam family "Bacterial small subunit ribosomal RNA", at positions 338 to 916 of the family's 1533-position model. The record is from RNAcentral.
CCUACGGAGGCAGCAGUGAGGGAAAUAUUGCGCAAAUGGGGGGAAACCCCUGACGCAGCAAACGCCGCGUGGGUGAAAGAAGGCCUUCGGGUCGUAAAGCCCUUUCGGACGGGACGAACGCUCCGCGGUGACAACCCGCGGAGUCUGACGGUACCGUAAGAAGAAGCACCGGCUAACUCCGUGCCAGCAGCCGCGGUAAUACGGAGGGUGCAAGCGUUGUUCGGAAUUACUGGGCGUAAAGCGCGUGUAGGCGGCCUUGCAAGCCAGACGUGAAAGCCCUCGGCUUAACCGGGGAAGUGCGUCUGGAACUGCUCGGCUCGAGUACGGGAGAGGGAGGCGGAAUUCCCAGUGUAGAGGUGAAAUUCGUAGAUAUUGGGAGGAACACCGGUGGCGAAAGCGGCCUCCUGGACCGAUACUGACGCUGAGACGCGAAAGCGUGGGGAGCAAACAGGAUUAGAUACCCUGGUAGUCCACGCGGUAAACGAUGGGCACUAGGUGUGGGGGGUAUCCACUCCUCCCGUGCCGCAGCUAACGCACUAAGUGCCCCGCCUGGGGAGUACGGCCGCAAGGUUAAAACUCAAAGGAAUUGACGG